Molecule: ribosomal RNA, 759 nt
Filed under: uncultured archaeon
Lineage: Archaea
Description: bacterial SSU rRNA
Rfam family: Archaeal small subunit ribosomal RNA
Source: RNAcentral
GGAUAACUUACCCUUUAGGACUGGGAUAACUCUGGGAAACUGGGGAUAAUACUGGAUAUUAGGCUAUGCCUGGAAUGGUUUGCCUUUGAAAUGUUUUUUUUCGCCUAAGGAUAGGUCUGCGGCUGAUUAGGUCGUUGGUGGGGUAUGGCCCACCAAGCCGAUGAUCGGUACGGGUUGUGAGAGCAAGGGCCCGGAGAUGGAACCUGAGACAAGGUUCCAGACCCUACGGGGUGCAGCAGGCGCGAAACCUCCGCAAUGUACGAAAGUGCGACGGGGGGAUCCCAAGUGUUAUGCUUUUUUGUAUGACUUUUCAUUAGUGUAAAAAGCUUUUAGAAUAAGAGCUGGGCAAGACCGGUGCCAGCCGCCGCGGUAACACCGGCAGCUCGAGUGGUAGCUGUUUUUAUUGGGCCUAAAGCGUUCGUAGCCGGUUUGAUAAGUCUUUGGUGAAAGCUUGUAGCUUAACUAUAAGAAUUGCUGGAGAUACUAUUAGACUUGAAGUCGGGAGAGGUUAGAGGUACUACCGGGGUAGGGGUGAAAUCCUAUAAUCCUGGGAGGACCACCUGUGGCGAAGGCGUCUAACUGGAACGAUCUUGACGGUGAGUAACGAAAGCCAGGGGCGCGAACCGGAUUAGAUACCCGGGUAGUCCUGGCCGUAAACGAUGUGGACUUGGUGUUGGAAUGGCUUUGAGUUGUUCCGGUGCCGAAGGGAAGCUGUUAAGUCCACCGCCUGGGAAGUACGGUCGCAAGACUGAAACUUAA